GCUUGGAGCCGCAGGGCUGAAUCCCGCGCGGCUCAGAGAUGGGUUUCUGGACUCGCGAAGCAGCUGCAGCAAGGCAUCACUCACUGUAUAAGUAUUUCCAUUUCUGAGAGCAAAAGGAAGAACUUAAGCGGGCGGCACUUGGAGUGUAAAUUGCUUUGUAGUAUUUAAAGGCAGAAUGGAUCCUGGGCAGCCGAGCUGCAACAAACCAGCAGGACUUCCUGUGAAAUCAUGACCGCCAUGUGCUCUUUCAGCCUCCAUCAAUUCCUACCUCUAAGCACUUGAGAGCCAAAGCAGACCACAGGAAACCACAGACUCAAACUAAACAUCAGCUUUUCCUGGCUCUCAAGUCUGCUGGUCCCUGAACUAAAACACACAUUAUCAACUCUACUGGUUCUUAGUCCUUUGGAGUCAGACUGGAACUACACCAUUGACUCUUCUGGAACUCCAGCUUACUGACUACAGAUCUUGGAACUUUUCAGCUUCCACAACCAUAAUGAAAGCCAAGCAUAUUCCAUCAUUUUCUAGAACCUAGAUAGAGCACAUACAGGAACUUGCAAAAUAAG
Molecule: long non-coding RNA, 563 nt
Filed under: Pongo abelii (Sumatran orangutan)
Lineage: Eukaryota; Metazoa; Chordata; Mammalia; Primates; Hominidae
Description: lincRNA
Source: RNAcentral